CUCUUUCAGAUUCAAAAUCAAACAGAAAUCUUGAUUUUCCAAGAGAAAUACCUCGAACGUGUCCUGCAACAUUCCAGAUGUUUUGUUUAGGCAGGAGGGCCACCAUAGCAGAGAUGCUUCUUCCACCUUGGUGGAACAUGCGACCAACAAGGCUUCUUUUGUAUCUUGCGAUAAGGGUUGAGUUGUCCACCUCAGGUAGUAUGACAAUGUCAUCCUCUUCCUCCACGUCUCGCCCAUGGCGGAAAGUAACAGGUUGUACUUGAGAAGCCAUCAAUGCCUGAUAUAAUUCUUAGCGAAAAGCUAGACAGGGAAGGGGGAAGAACACAGGUAAAAAUUCGCUGAUGGAGACAUCAGGAAAACAAUCAAAGAUUUAAUUAGAAGAGAGGCGAUACCAAGUGAAAAGAGAACUACUAGGUAAACUUGAAGAAAGGAUUAGAUUGGUGAGUAUGUGCAAAAAGGGGACCAGCUCUUCUUAUCACACCGAAGCCUCACUCGGUCGGAACCUAGAAAGCAAAGGAAAAAGAAGGAAAGUUUCUUGUUUUAGAGAAAACAGAGUUGGUGAGAUCUAUUUUUUUGAAAAGGAUAGCUGCUUUUAGAAGUCUCGAGACAUGUGCCUGGGAGAGAAACCAAAGUCACGAGUUGUGACUUCUCGUCCAUCCUAACAUUCGUCUUAUAAACCUAAAAUUCUAUAAAAUCACAUGUGUCAAACAUUUUUGUCAACAAUAUGGAAUCGGUCGAUUUUGCCGGAAAGCUAAUAAUAACAAAAAGACUAGGCAUACUACUUCGGGCACUGUGAAGUAGAAAACUAGGCAUAUUAUUUUUU
Camelina sativa (false flax) is the source of this 823-nucleotide non-coding RNA. The record is from RefSeq and is a predicted model, not a curated record. Lineage: Eukaryota; Viridiplantae; Streptophyta; Magnoliopsida; Brassicales; Brassicaceae.